UCAACUUGAGAGUUUGAUCCUGGCUCAGAACGAACGCUGGCGGCAGGCUUAACACAUGCAAGUCGAGCGCCCCGCAAGGGGAGCGGCAGACGGGUGAGUAACGCGUGGGAACGUACCAUUUGCUACGGAAUAACUCAGGGAAACUUGUGCUAAUACCGUAUGAGCCCGAAAGGGGAAAGAUUUAUCGGCAAAUGAUCGGCCCGCGUUGGAUUAGCUAGUUGGUGGGGUAAAGGCCUACCAAGGCGACGAUCCAUAGCUGGUCUGAGAGGAUGAUCAGCCACACUGGGACUGAGACACGGCCCAGACUCCUACGGGAGGCAGCAGUGGGGAAUAUUGGACAAUGGGCGCAAGCCUGAUCCAGCCAUGCCGCGUGAGUGAUGAAGGCCCUAGGGUUGUAAAGCUCUUUCACCGGUGAAGAUAAUGACGGUAACCGGAGAAGAAGCCCCGGCUAACUUCGUGCCAGCAGCCGCGGUAAUACGAAGGGGGCUAGCGUUGUUCGGAUUUACUGGGCGUAAAGCGCACGUAGGCGGGCUAAUAAGUCAGGGGUGAAAUCCCGGGGCUCAACCCCGGAACUGCCUUUGAUACUGUUAGUCUUGAGUAUGGUAGAGGUGAGUGGAAUUCCGAGUGUAGAGGUGAAAUUCGUAGAUAUUCGGAGGAACACCAGUGGCGAAGGCGGCUCACUGGACCAU
RNAcentral lists this ribosomal RNA (689 nucleotides) under Escherichia coli. Its description in RNAcentral is "bacterial SSU rRNA". It matches the Rfam family "Bacterial small subunit ribosomal RNA", at positions 1 to 737 of the family's 1533-position model. Lineage: Bacteria; Pseudomonadati; Pseudomonadota; Gammaproteobacteria; Enterobacterales; Enterobacteriaceae. The record is from RNAcentral.